This 318-nucleotide small RNA is filed under the name Erinaceus europaeus (western European hedgehog). RNAcentral's name for it is "7SK RNA (ENSEEUG00000020101.1)". It matches the Rfam family "7SK RNA", at positions 1 to 262 of the family's 331-position model. From Rfam's summary of the family: 7SK was discovered as an abundant small nuclear RNA in the mid-70s but a possible function has only recently been suggested. Two independent studies have found that 7SK RNA binds the CDK9/cyclin T complex (known as elongation factor P-TEFb). Lineage: Eukaryota; Metazoa; Chordata; Mammalia; Eulipotyphla; Erinaceidae. The record is from RNAcentral.
GGAUGUGAGAGCGAUCUGGCUGCGACAUCUGUCACCCCAUUGAUCGCCAGAGUUGACUCCACUGAUCUGACUAGCUAGGCGAGUGUCCCCUUCCACCCUCACUGCUCCAUGUGCGUCCCUCCCGAAGCUGCGCGCUCGGUCAAAGAGGACGGCCUUCCCCGAAUAGAGACGGACCAGUCUUGGGUCGAGGGUAUACGAGUAGCUGUGCUCCCCUGCUAGAACCUCCAAACAAGCUCUCAAGAAAAUCAUAAUUCUUCAAAAUUAAUUUUGUUGGAUCCUGGAAGAACGACUGCCCUGUUGAACUCUUGGUAUGCGCAG